This 75-nucleotide transfer RNA is filed under the name Mycobacterium phage ABCat. RNAcentral's name for it is "tRNA-Gly". It matches the Rfam family "tRNA". From Rfam's summary of the family: Transfer RNA (tRNA) molecules are approximately 80 nucleotides in length. Lineage: Duplodnaviria; Heunggongvirae; Uroviricota; Caudoviricetes. The record is from RNAcentral. RNAcentral also lists the same sequence under 5 other names.
GCGCCCGUGGUCGAAUUGGAAAGACUCCUGGCUUCCACCCAGGUUAUGCAGGUUCGAGUCCUGUCGGGCGCUCGA